GACGAACGCUGGCGGCGUGCUUAACACAUGCAAGUCGAACGGAAAGGCCCUGCUUUUGUGGGGUGCUCGAGUGGCGAACGGGUGAGUAACACGCGAGUAACCUGCCCUUGACUUUGGGAUAACUUCAGGAAACUGGGGCUAAUACCGGAUAGGAGCUCCUGCUGCACGGUGGGGGUUGGAAAGUUUCGGCGGUUGGGGAUGGAAUCGCGGCUUAUCAGCUGGUUGGUGGGGUAGUGGCUUACCAAGGCUUUGACGGGUAGCCGGCCUGAGAGGGUGACCGGCCACAUUGGUACUGAGAGACGGCCCAGACUCCUACGUGAGGCAGCAGUGGGGAAUAUUGCACAGUGGGCGGAAGCCUGAUGCAGCAACGCCGCGUGCGUGAUGCCGUCCUUCGGGUUGUAAACCGCUUUCGCCUGUGACGAAGCGUGAGUGACGGUAAUGGGUAAAGAAGCACCGGCUAACUACGUG
Molecule: ribosomal RNA, 468 nt
Filed under: uncultured bacterium
Lineage: Bacteria
Description: partial 16S ribosomal RNA
Rfam family: Bacterial small subunit ribosomal RNA
Source: RNAcentral